RNAcentral lists this ribosomal RNA (223 nucleotides) under uncultured bacterium. RNAcentral's name for it is "partial 16S ribosomal RNA". It matches the Rfam family "Bacterial small subunit ribosomal RNA", at positions 524 to 746 of the family's 1533-position model. The record is from RNAcentral.
GACAGAGGGUGCAAACGUUGUUCGGAAUUACUGGGCGUAAAGCGAGUGUAGGCGGUUUGGUAAGUCGGAUGUGAAAGCCCCGGGCUCAACCCGGGAAGUGCACUCGAUACUGCCAAGCUAGAGUAUCGGAGAGGUUGGUGGAAUUCUCGGUGUAGAGGUGAAAUUCGUAGAUAUCGAGAGGAACACCGGUGGCGAAGGCGGCCAACUGGACGAAUACUGACGC